Molecule: non-coding RNA, 497 nt
Organism: Kitasatospora griseola
Lineage: Bacteria; Bacillati; Actinomycetota; Actinomycetes; Kitasatosporales; Streptomycetaceae
Rfam family: Saccharopolyspora sRNA 350
Source: Rfam
GUGGCGGUGUAGUCCCAGCUGGCGUCGGCGUCCAGCAGGGCAUUCUCGCCGAACCGGUCGCCGUCGCCGAGGACGCCGAUCACCGCGUCGUCACCGUACUUGCCGGUGGAGACCUGGUUGAUCUUGCCGUGCGCGAUCAGGUGGAUCUUGUCGGACGGGGUGCCGCGCUCCACCAGGGUCUCCCCGGCCCGGAACUCGCGCUGCACGCACCGGUCGGCGAUCGCCGACAGCACGUCGUCGUCCUCGAAGCCGCGCAGCAGGGCGAGUUCACCGAGCUCCCGGGGGAUGACCCGGACGUCGCCGCCGGUCUGGAUGAACUCGAUCCGGCCGUCGCCGACCGUGUAGGUCAGGCGCCGGUUGACCCGGUAGGUACCGCCGGAGGUCUGCACCCAGGGCAGCAUCCGCAGCAGCCAGCGGGAGGUGAUCUCCUGCAUCUGCGGUGCGGACUUGGUGGUGGUCGCCAGGUUGCGUGCGGCGGCGGUGGUGAGGCUGGUCUG